Molecule: long non-coding RNA, 307 nt
Organism: Aedes aegypti (yellow fever mosquito)
Lineage: Eukaryota; Metazoa; Arthropoda; Insecta; Diptera; Culicidae
Exons: 2
Source: RefSeq, a predicted model, not a curated record
UCAAGAUCGUCAAAUUUCAAGUCAACCACCAUCUUCGAACCAACCGUUACCGCCUUCAGAUGUGUAGUGCAGUUAAAGUGGCUAUAUUAAGUGAAAUUCAAAGAAAAGUUGCUACGUUUCACUUAAUACUAUAUCCCAUGUACAAAUUCCAAAACCUUGACACCAACAGUUAUAUGUUAACAUACACGAAGAACGAUUAAGUAGAAUGUAAGUGAACGAACAUAACAUGUAACAAAACAAAUAACAUUCCCCUAAUUACAGUAUCCCCAGAAGAAGACUCGAUUCUGAGUCGAAACGUCGGGAAAAA